CCCUUAGAUGUUCGGGGCCGCACGCGCGCUACACUGAAGGAAUCAGCACGUCUUUCUCCUUGUCCGAAAGGACUGGGUAACCCGCUGAACCUCCUUCGUGCUAGGGAUUGGGGCUUGUAAUUCUUCCCCAUGAACGAGGAAUUCCCAGUAAGCGCGAGUCAUAAGCUCGCGUUGAUUACGUCCCUGCCCUUUGUAUACACCGCCCGUCGCUACUACCGAUUGGAUGGUUUAGUGAGAUCCUCGGAUUGGUCCCGGCGCGGCCUCUGGUCGUGCCGGAGUGCCGAAAAGAAUGUCGAACUUGAUCAUCUAGAGGAAGUAAAAGUCGUAACA
Molecule: ribosomal RNA, 330 nt
Filed under: uncultured eukaryote
Lineage: Eukaryota
Description: partial 18S ribosomal RNA
Rfam family: Eukaryotic small subunit ribosomal RNA
Source: RNAcentral